AUUGAACGCUGGCGGCAGGCCUAACACAUGCAAGUCGAACGGCAGCACAGAAGAGCUUGCUCUUUGGGUGGCGCGUGGCGGACGGGUGAGUAAUGUCUGGGAAACUGCCCGAUGGAGGGGGAUAACUACUGGAAACGGUAGCUAAUACCGCAUAACGUCGCAAGACCAAAGUGGGGGACCUUCGGGCCUCACACCAUCGGAUGUGCCCAGAUGGGAUUAGCUAGUUGGUGGGGUAAUGGCUCACCUAGGCGACGAUACCUAGCUGGUCUGAGGGGAGUACCAGGCACGCUGGAAAUGGGACACGGUCGAGACGCCUACGGGAGGCAGCGGUGGGGAAUAGUGCACAAUGGGCGCAAGCCUGAUGCAGCCAUGCCGCGUGUAUGAAGAAGGCCUUCGGGUUGUAAAGUACUUUCAGCGGGGAGGAAGGCGGUGAGGUUAAUAACCUUGCCGAUUGACGUUACCCGCAGAAGAAGCACCGGCUAACUCCGUGCCAGCCGCCGCUGUAA
This 506-nucleotide ribosomal RNA is filed under the name uncultured bacterium. RNAcentral's name for it is "partial 16S ribosomal RNA". It matches the Rfam family "Bacterial small subunit ribosomal RNA", at positions 29 to 523 of the family's 1533-position model. The record is from RNAcentral.